RNAcentral lists this ribosomal RNA (164 nucleotides) under uncultured eukaryote. RNAcentral's name for it is "partial 18S ribosomal RNA". It matches the Rfam family "Eukaryotic small subunit ribosomal RNA", at positions 1487 to 1650 of the family's 1831-position model. The record is from RNAcentral.
CCGCACGCGCGCUACACUGACAGAGCCAACGAGUUCAUUUCCUUAGCCGAAAGGUUUGGGUAAUCUUGUUAAACUCUGUCGUGCUGGGGAUAGAGCAUUGCAAUUAUUGCUCUUCAACGAGGAAUGCCUAGUAAGCGCAUGUCAUCAGCAUGCGUUGAUUACGU